AACGCGAAGAACCUUACCUGGGUUUGACAUGCACAGGACGCCGGUAGAGAUAUCGGUUCCCUUGUGGCCUGUGUGCAGGUGGUGCAUGGCUGUCGUCAGCUCGUGUCGUGAGAUGUUGGGUUAAGUCCCGCAACGAGCGCAACCCUUGUCUCAUGUUGCCAGCGCGUUAUGGCGGGGACUCGUGGGAGACUGCCGGGGUCAACUCGGAGGAAGGUGGGGAUGACGUCAAGUCAUCAUGCCCCUUAUGUCCAGGGCUUCACACAUGCUACAAUGGCCGGUACAAAGGGCUGCGAUGCCGUGAGGCUUAGCGAAUCCUUGAAAGCCGGUCUCAGUUCGGAUCGGGGUCUGCAACUCGACCCCGUGAAGUCGGAGUCGCUAGUAAUCGCAGAUCAGCACG
RNAcentral lists this ribosomal RNA (397 nucleotides) under uncultured Mycobacterium sp. Its description in RNAcentral is "bacterial SSU rRNA". It matches the Rfam family "Bacterial small subunit ribosomal RNA", at positions 958 to 1356 of the family's 1533-position model. Lineage: Bacteria; Bacillati; Actinomycetota; Actinomycetes; Mycobacteriales; Mycobacteriaceae. The record is from RNAcentral.